This 466-nucleotide ribosomal RNA is filed under the name uncultured Pseudomonadaceae bacterium. Its description in RNAcentral is "bacterial SSU rRNA". It matches the Rfam family "Bacterial small subunit ribosomal RNA", at positions 338 to 795 of the family's 1533-position model. The record is from RNAcentral. Lineage: Bacteria; Pseudomonadati; Pseudomonadota; Gammaproteobacteria; Pseudomonadales; Pseudomonadaceae.
CCUACGGGGGGCAGCAGUGGGGAAUAUUGGACAAUGGGGGCAACCCUGAUCCAGCCAUGCCGCGUGUGUGAAGAAGGUCUUCGGAUUGUAAAGCACUUUAAGUUGGGAGGAAGGGCUUACGGCUAAUACCCGUUAAGUUUUGACGUUACCAACAGAAUAAGCACCGGCUAACUUCGUGCCAGCAGCCGCGGUAAUACGAAGGGUGCAAGCGUUAAUCGGAAUUACUGGGCGUAAAGCGCGCGUAGGUGGUUCGUCAAGUUGGAAGUGAAAGCCCUGGGCUCAACCUAGGAAUUGCUUUCAAAACUGGCGGGCUAGAGUACGGUAGAGGGUAGUGGAAUUUCCUGUGUAGCGGUGAAAUGCGUAGAUAUAGGAAGGAACAUCAGUGGCGAAGGCGACUACCUGGACUGAUACUGACACUGAGGUGCGAAAGCGUGGGGAGCAAACAGGAUUAGAUACCCUUGUAGUC